This is a long non-coding RNA of Oryzias melastigma (Indian medaka), 652 nucleotides long. RefSeq lists it as uncharacterized. The transcript has 4 exons. NCBI's taxonomy places the organism in Eukaryota, Metazoa, Chordata, Actinopteri, Beloniformes, Adrianichthyidae. The record is from RefSeq and is a predicted model, not a curated record.
UAUUUGUGCCUAUAUUCUAGGAUAUUUGCCACAAUGACAAUAUUACACUAACCAAACUGACUUCAUAUUUUUAUCUUUUAGACUCUUGUCCGUCACAUAAGAACCUUGGAGAGCAGCUUCACUGGAAGCUUCAGAACACAGCACAACGAGGAGGUGAUAGCUGCAGUGGUUCAAACAGUGAAAGAUGCAGAACCAAACUGGAGCUUCCACCAAGAGCUUGUAAUUGAGCUUUUGAGAACCAAAAGUGCCAAGAGCGAAUGGAGAGAGAUGGCAGCAAGGAAGGUGUCAAUAGGAGGAAACUCCUGACCAGUAGACCUCAUCGGGUCUUCAGAAAGCGAGAAGGUUCUCAAUUAAGAGGACCUGUUAUUCAUCCAAGGAGCCAAUCCAGACUAUGUCAGCGAUGAGGAAAGCAACAAGGAAAAGACUGCAUAUUAUUAUGCCACACCAAAGUGGCGCUCCAUUCGGCUAACCAGACUGAUGUCAAAAUGCCAAAAAGCCUUGGAUGACAACAGAAAAAAGGAAUAGAGCCAAGAUCCACACACAUAAGACACUCAGCUGGUUUUAGUAAGAGGAACCCACCCCGUAAAGAGCUGCUAUCUAGCAGUGGAGUGCGAUUUGGACUCUAAAAAAAAAGUUGUUUGUGUAGUGUUGU